This 484-nucleotide ribosomal RNA is filed under the name uncultured bacterium. RNAcentral's name for it is "partial 16S ribosomal RNA". It matches the Rfam family "Bacterial small subunit ribosomal RNA", at positions 30 to 507 of the family's 1533-position model. The record is from RNAcentral.
AUUGAACGCUGGCGGCAUGCUUUACACAUGCAAGUCGAACGGCAGCGCGGGCUUCGGCCUUUCUGCGAGUGUCGAACGGGUGGGUAGUACAACGGAACGUGCCCAUUCGUGGGGGAUAGCUCGGCGAACGCCGGAUUAAUACCACAUACGACCUGAUUUUGAAAGCGGGGGGUCGUCGGACCUCGCGCUAUUGCAGCCGCCUCUGGCAGAUUGGCCAGUGGGUGGGGUAAAGGCCUACCAAGGCGACGCUCAGUAGCUGGUCUGAGAGGACCCUCAGCCACACUGGGACUGAGACACGGCCCAGACGCCUACGGGAGGCAGCAGUGGGGAAUUUUGGACAAUGGGCGAAAGCCUGAUCCAGCAAUGCCGCGUGUGUGAUGAAGGCCUUCGGGUUGUAAAGCACUUUUGGCGGGAACGAAAAGGACUGUGCAAAUACCACGGUUCGAUGACGGUACCCGGAGAGUAAGCCACGGCUAACUACGUG